Molecule: ribosomal RNA, 419 nt
Filed under: uncultured bacterium
Lineage: Bacteria
Description: bacterial SSU rRNA
Rfam family: Bacterial small subunit ribosomal RNA
Source: RNAcentral
AUCUUGCCCAAUGGGCGCAAGCCUGAGGCAGCGACGCCGCGUGAGGGAAGAAGGCCUUCGGGUUGUAAACCUCUUUCAGGAGGGACGAAGCCACUCGGGUUAAUAGCCCAGAGGGUGACGGUACCUCCAGCAGAAGCCCCGGCUAACUACGUGCCAGCAGCCGCGGUAAUACGUAGGGGGCAAGCGUUGUCCGGAUUUACUGGGCGUAAAGAGCGUGUAGGCGGCCAGACAGGUCUGUUGUGAAAACUGGAGGCUUAACCUCCAGAGGUCGACAGAAACCGUCUGGCUAGAGUCCGGAAGAGGAGAGUGGAAUUCCUGGUGUAGCGGUGAAAUGCGCAGAUAUCAGGAAGAACACCAAUGGCGAAGGCAGCUCUCUGGGACGGUACUGACGCUGAGACGCGAAAGCGUGGGGAGCGAAC